RNAcentral lists this ribosomal RNA (460 nucleotides) under uncultured bacterium. RNAcentral's name for it is "partial 16S ribosomal RNA". It matches the Rfam family "Bacterial small subunit ribosomal RNA", at positions 338 to 795 of the family's 1533-position model. The record is from RNAcentral.
CCUACGGGCGGCAGCAGUGAGGAAUAUUGGUCAAUGGGCGUAAGCCUGAACCAGCCAAGUCGCGUGAGGGAUGAAGGUUCUAUGGAUCGUAAACCUCUUUUAUAAGGGAAUAAAGUGUGGGACGUGUCCUAUUUUGUAUGUACCUUAUGAAUAAGGAUCGGCUAACUCCGUGCCAGCAGCCGCGGUAAUAUGGAGGAUCCGAGCGUUAUCCGGAUUUAUUGGGUGUAACGGGUGCGUAGGCGGCUUUUUAAGUCAGCGGUGAAAGUCUGUGGCUCAACCAUAGAAUUGCCGUUGAAACUGGGGGGCUUGAGUAUGUUUGAGGCAGGCGGAAUGCGUGGUGUAGCGGUGAAAUGCUUAGAGAUCACGCAGAACCCCGAUUGCGAAGGCAGCCUGCCAGGCCAUGACUGACGCUGAUGCACGAAAGCGUGGGGAUCAAACAGGAUUAGAUACCCGGGUAGUC